CUUUUUUUUCCUCUUCGUCUAUACAAGGGCGCUGGUCCACCCUUUUGUGGGAGAUCAACCGCGUCCCGGCCGUCUAUUACUCGGGGGCGCCGCGUGGCGCUUGUUUGUUAUUGCCGCAGGCGCUUUUGGUCGUAGGGCAAAGGGGUCGCCAUGUACACACAAAGUGAUACACGCCCAUGGCGCCCAGAACCGAAAUGCCGAGGGCGAGUCGCCGAUGCCGGCGCCGCGGGAGGACGGCCACCGCUACCGACGCGCAUCCGAGGCCACACAGGCCCGAUAGGACCGCACAGACCGGGAGCGCGCUCACAUAGGCCAGGGCACGCUGCCGGGUAUCGAAACACGAGGGUACAUCGCCGACGUAGAAACCUGCAAUGCCUGCCGCGACGCCGACGAGGCCACCGCGCCUUACAGCGAGUCGCCCCAACGCGGCUCUGCGGUCGGCGCGCACGGAUGCCGUCUUGCUGGGUGCUUGUGAGGACGUCGAUUGCGUCGAGGUCGUUCCUGGCGACGGCGUCGAAAGGGGCAGCAGGCCCCACGGAUCGCGGCUCAUGCUGCUAUCGACUGUCUAUUUUCGGACCUCUCUUUUGUUUUUAAUACCAAGUGUCUGUGCCCAGACGGAGCCUU
This 624-nucleotide long non-coding RNA is filed under the name Pandoravirus salinus. Its description in RNAcentral is "putative ncRNA". The record is from RNAcentral.